GACGAACGCUGGCGGCGUGCUUAACACAUGCAAGUCGAACGGAAAGGCCCCUUUGGGGGUACUCGAGUGGCGAACGGGUGAGUAACACGUGAGUAACCUGCCCUUGACUUCGGGAUAACUUCAGGAAACUGGGGCUAAUACCGGAUAGGAAUCCUUGCUGCAUGGUGGGGGUUGGAAAGCUUCGGCGGUUUUGGAUGGACUCGCGGCUUAUCAGCUUGUUGGUGGGGUAGUGGCUUACCAAGGCUUUGACGGGUAGCCGGCCUGAGAGGGUGACCGGCCACAUUGGGACUGAGAGACGGCCCAGACUCCUACGGGAGGCAGCAGUGGGGAAUAUUGCACAAUGGGCGGAAGCCUGAUGCAGCAACGCCUCGUGCGGGAUGACGGCCUUCGGGUUGUAAACCGGUUUCAGCAGGGGCGAAGCUUGUGGUGACGGUACCUGCAGAAGAAGCACCGGCUAACUACGUG
This 465-nucleotide ribosomal RNA is filed under the name uncultured bacterium. Its description in RNAcentral is "partial 16S ribosomal RNA". It matches the Rfam family "Bacterial small subunit ribosomal RNA", at positions 28 to 507 of the family's 1533-position model. The record is from RNAcentral.